Molecule: long non-coding RNA, 697 nt
Organism: Ostrea edulis (European flat oyster)
Lineage: Eukaryota; Metazoa; Mollusca; Bivalvia; Ostreida; Ostreidae
Exons: 3
Source: RefSeq, a predicted model, not a curated record
UCCAAGGGGGUAGUGAUGCUGCAAAAAUAUGCAGAAAGAUAAUGCGAACAUGCAUGACAAAUGGAUGCAUGAGCCAGUUCAGUGGCAUUGGCCAAAAGGGCAAGGCUAGAUUUAUGGACACCAAAUUAUUUACUAUUGUUAUAGAUGCUGGAAGAAAAGCUUUAAAAAAAAACAAAUUUCAGUGGAAGAACUAAAGAAUGAGGUGUUUGAGGUGUUAAGAAGUGCCCCGAAUAAACCAGGAGGCUCCAAUUACAUGAAGAAACAAAAGGAAAAGAGGCGGAGGUGCUUGCCUGAAAUCCCAGAGGAUGACUGAUUGUGAGACGUUACACAUUUCUACACUGUGUUUCGGAAAUUCCAGAGAACAGAGGAUGACUGAUUGUGAGACGUUACAAAUUUCUACACUGUGUUUCGGAAAUCCCAGAGAACAGAGAAUGACUUACACGACUUUAAAAAUUCCCCACUAUGUUUUUUAAAAUCCAAUGUUACUGUUAUAUUUGCCUUUUUUUCAUAUCUAAAUAGUAAAUAUUUAAAACUCUAAAUAAUAUCUUUUGAAUCCAUAUCUCCACAGGACAGUGGUAUUUAAAUGUCAUUUUGCAUCCAUCGUCAUUCCCACAUGCUAAAAACAAAAAUCAAAGAAUAACAGAAAAGAAAAAAGUAAACACUAAUCAAAUAAGAUUGAAUACAAUGCUUCAUAUAG